ACUAUACCUUGGUAUUGGCGUUAGGCGCGGAUUGUGUAGCAUAGGCGGGAGGCUUCGAAGCGUGGGCGCCAGCUCAUGUGGAGCCGCAAGGUGAAAUACCGCUCUGUUCUCGUUUGACGUCUAACCUCGACAAGUCAUCCUUGUCAGGGACAGUGCCUGGCGGGUAGUUCAACUGGGGCGGUUGCCUCCCAAAGAGUAACGGAGGCGCUCAAAGGUCCGCUCAGCCCGGUUGGCAAUCGGGUGUCGAGUGUAAUCGCACAAGCGGGCUUGACUGCGAGGACGACGGUCCGAGCAGGGACGAAAGUCGGAGAUAGUGAUCCGGUGCCGGCGCACGGGCGCGGCAUCGCUCAACGGAUAAAAGGUACCCCGGGGAUAACAGGCUGAUCAUUCCCAAGAGUCCAUAUCGACGGGAUGGUUUGGCACCUCGAUGUCGGCUCGUCGCAUCCUGGGGCUGGAGCAGGUCCCAAGGGUUCGGCUGUUCGCCGAUUAAAGCGGCACGCGAGCUGGGUUCAGAACGUCGUGAGACAGUUUGGUCUCUAUCCUCUGCGCUCGUUGGAAUCCUGAGGAGGCCUGCCCAUAGUACGAGAGGACCUGGGUGGACGAACCUCUGGUAUGCCGGUUGUCGCGCCAGCGGCACGGCCGGUUGGCUACGUUCGGGAGGGAUAACCGCUGAAAGCAUCUAAGCGGGAAGCCUGCUCCAAGAUUAGGAUUCCGUACGGUCUUGAACCGUUGUAGCCCGCAUGUUGAACACGUGUUUGAUAGGCCGGAGGUGGAAGCCCCGUGAGGGGUGGAGCCGACCGGUACUAACGGGCGACGGCGACACAAC
This 826-nucleotide ribosomal RNA is filed under the name human gut metagenome. Its description in RNAcentral is "bacterial LSU rRNA". It matches the Rfam family "Bacterial large subunit ribosomal RNA", at positions 2103 to 2925 of the family's 2925-position model. The record is from RNAcentral.